This 427-nucleotide ribosomal RNA is filed under the name uncultured prokaryote. RNAcentral describes it as "bacterial SSU rRNA". It matches the Rfam family "Bacterial small subunit ribosomal RNA", at positions 355 to 774 of the family's 1533-position model. The record is from RNAcentral.
UCGAGGAUCAUUCGCAAUGGGGGAAACCCUGACGAUGCGACGCUGCGUGGAGGAUGAAGGCCCUCGGGUUGUAAACUCCUGUCAUGAGGGGAGAGGCGGAGGCGGCGAACAGCCGCCCGAGUUGACGGUACCUCAAGAGGAAGCCACGGCUAACUCUGUGCCAGCGGCCGCGGUAAUACAGAGGUGGCGAGCGUUGUUCGGAUUUACUGGGCGUAAAGGGCGCGUAGGCGGCGCGGUGUGUCGGGUGUGAAAUCCAUGGGCUGAACCCAUGAAGUGCGCCCGAAACUGCCGCGCUCGAGUGCGGGAGGGGGGAUCGGAAUGCAGGGUGGAGCGGUGAAAUGCUUAGAUAUUACACAGAACACCGAUUGCGAAGGCAGCUUGCUGGGCCAUUACUGACGCUGAUGCACGAAAGCGUGGGGAUCGAACA